GAUAGCUCAGUUGGUAGAGCAAAUGACUGUUAAUCAUUGGGUCGCAGGUUCGAGUCCUGCUC
RNAcentral lists this transfer RNA (62 nucleotides) under Halomonas halophila. It matches the Rfam family "tRNA", at positions 6 to 65 of the family's 71-position model. Rfam says of the family: Transfer RNA (tRNA) molecules are approximately 80 nucleotides in length. Their secondary structure includes four short double-helical elements and three loops (D, anti-codon, and T loops). The record is from RNAcentral. Lineage: Bacteria; Pseudomonadati; Pseudomonadota; Gammaproteobacteria; Oceanospirillales; Halomonadaceae. RNAcentral also lists the same sequence under 21 other names.